Molecule: non-coding RNA, 78 nt
Filed under: unclassified sequences
Source: RNAcentral
ACCCCACAACAGGCGCCGCCUCCACGUGGCGUGGGGUGGGCAACUGUGCCUCCAGCAGAGGCACAGGCCAAGCGCGCC